Molecule: transfer RNA, 73 nt
Filed under: Plutella xylostella (diamondback moth)
Lineage: Eukaryota; Metazoa; Arthropoda; Insecta; Lepidoptera; Plutellidae
Description: tRNA-Ser
Source: RNAcentral
GACCGGAUGGCGUAGUGGUUAGUGAUGCUGACUACUGAGCCGAAGGUCCCGGGUUCGAUUCCCGGCUGGGGCA